Molecule: ribosomal RNA, 440 nt
Filed under: uncultured bacterium
Lineage: Bacteria
Description: partial 16S ribosomal RNA
Rfam family: Bacterial small subunit ribosomal RNA
Source: RNAcentral
CCUACGGGCGGCUGCAGUGGGGAAUAUUGCACAAUGGGGGAAACCCUGAUGCAGCGACGCCGCGUGAGUGAAGAAGUAUUUCGGUAUGUAAAGCUCUAUCAGCAGGGGAGAAAAUCACGGUACCUGAUUAAGAAGCCCCGGAUAACGACGUGCCAGCAGCCGCUGGCAUACGUGGGGGGCACGCGUUAUUCGGAUGUACUGGUUGUAAAGGGAGCGUAGACGGGAGCACAAGUUUGGAGGUAAAUGCCGGGUGUUAAACCCGGAAAUGCUUUGGAAACCGUGCAGCUAGAGUGCAGGAGAGGUAAGUGGAAUGCGUGGUGUAGCGGUGAAAUGCGUAGAUAUUACGAGGAACACCAGUGGCGAAGGCAGCUUACUGGACUGUAACUGACGUUGAGGCUCGAAAGCGUGGGGAGCGAACAGGAUUAGAUACCCGAGUAGUC